GGCUUGGUAAUUGGAAUGAGGGAGAGUUAAACGGACCAUCGAGUAUCCAUUGGAGGGCAAGUCUGGUGCCAGCAGCUGCGGUAAUACCAGCUCCAAUAGCGUAUAUUAAAGUUGUUGCAGUUAAAAAGCUCGUAGUUGGACUUGUGUGCGCUGUCCGCGGGUGGCCUGCGCCCAAAAGGGCGUUUUCGGUUCGGCCCCGGUGGCGCCUUGAAAUCUGCAGCUGGGGGGACGUUGGCCUUAACUGGUCGGCGACCGCACGCCGGCUGCUCGGUUACUGUGAGAAAAUUAGAGUGUUCAAGGCAGGCAUUGGGUGCAAUUGAAUACAUUAGCAUGGAAUAAUAAAAUAUGGCUCCUGCCGUAUUUUGUUGGUUUUGACUGGUGGGAGAAAUGAUUGAUAGGGACGGUUGGGGGUGCUAGUAUUGAGCGGCCAGAGGUGAAAUUCAUGGAUUCGCUCAAGACUAACUUAUGCGAAAGCAUUCACCAAGGACGUCCUCUUUAAUCAAGAACGAAAGUUGGGGGAUCGAAGACGAUCAGAUACCGUCGUAGUCUCAACCAUAAACUAUGUCGACUUGUGAUCGGCGGUAGUUUUUUCAUUAAGACACUGUCGGGACCACGGGAGAAAUCAAAGUGUCUGGACUCUGGGGGAAGUAUGGUCGCAAGGCUGAAACUUGAAGGAAUUGACGGAAGGGCACCACCAGGAGUGGAGCCUGCGGCUUAAUUUGACACAACACGGGGAAACUUACCAGGUCCAGAGAUGUAGAGGAUUGACAGAUUGAAGCUCUUUCUUGAUCACUUCGGUGGUGGUGCAUGGCCGUUCUUAGUUGGUGGAGUGAUUUGUCUGGUUAAUUCCGUUAACGAACGAGACCUCAGCCUGCUAGUGUAGUCGGCUGGAUUGCCUUUGGCGAUCCGUGAUUUCGACUUCUUAGAGGGACAAUCGACGCGCAGUCGAUGGAAGUUUGAGGCAAUAACAGGUCUGUGAUGCCCUUAGAUGUUCUGGGCCGUACGCGCGCUACACUGCUGGGCUCAGCGAGUUUUACUUGGCCGAGAGGCCCGGUUAAUCUUGUGAAAUCCCAGCGUGCUUGGGCUCGCCUCCUGCAACUGGAGGCGCCAACGAGGAAUUCCUAGUAGACGCAGGUCAUCAACCUGCAUCGAUUACGUCCCUGCCCUUUGUACACACCGCCCGUCGUUCCAUAAGAGUGAGGCAUCCGGUGAAUUCUCGGGAGAGCCUGGGCGUGGCCAGCAAUGGUCUGCUCGGGUUUGAACUUGCAUAAACUUGGUGCCUAUGAUUAGGG
RNAcentral lists this ribosomal RNA (1292 nucleotides) under metagenome. RNAcentral's name for it is "SSU rRNA". It matches the Rfam family "Eukaryotic small subunit ribosomal RNA", at positions 499 to 1783 of the family's 1831-position model. The record is from RNAcentral.